UUACUUGGUGCUAAGGAGCUCAGAGGCAUGGGCUGCUUCAGAGUCCCUAAAGAUUCUCCCAGGCUGAGACUUUUCUUCUUAUUCUUCUUCUCAGAUGGUUCUCUCUCCCUCUUCAUGAAGUUGGGUGGUUGAUCUGGGAGUCAUUCCAAGAUGAAUCUAGAAAUGUCAAUUCCUUGGGCUUCCAGAUCCUGCAGGUAGCAAGCGAUGACUUCUGGAGGAUCUAUCUUUGAGAAAAGAUAC
RNAcentral lists this long non-coding RNA (240 nucleotides) under Lathyrus oleraceus (garden pea). Its description in RNAcentral is "Pisum sativum (pea) long non-coding RNA (PSAT_LNC012755)". Lineage: Eukaryota; Viridiplantae; Streptophyta; Magnoliopsida; Fabales; Fabaceae. The record is from RNAcentral.